UUUUCAUUUACAAAAACUUUAGAGAAAGCAAAAUCGCUUUCUAAAUUUUUGUCGUCUAUAAUGAAGCAUAGCAUUAGAACAAGUAGAAGAUUUGAUAAACCAAAUAAACUACACCGUUUGUAAAUAUAAAAUUUUUCUUUAUAAGUAUACUAAUUGAAGUGUUUGAUAAGCACUCAUUGGCUAAGUGAUUGUCAUAAAAUAAUUAAUAUCAGAUAAAGAGGUUUUGUUUAAUUUUAUAAGUAUAUUAAUUGAAGUGUUUGAUAAGCACUCAUUGGCUGAGUGAUUGUCAUUUCCUCUUUAAGUGAAAUGUUUCAAUUCUUGGUGGACAUAUGAGAGUAUGCCUUUCCCACCAAUAUUUAGAGUAGAGACAAUCUAUUUGCUCAUAAUUAUUCGAGCCACAUAUAAUUAAACUUAAUCUAGAUGCUAUGGCUAGUUAGCUACCUUGCUAGGUGAAAUUACACUACAACAUUUGUACAUUGCAAUAGUUACAAUUUUUUGGUUAUAGAUCACAAUUUUUUUUUUUUUGGGUUAUUUGCCACGAGUUUAUUAUUACGUAUGUGAAUUUAUAUUUGAAUUUGAGAUGGGUAGCGCAAAACUUAGAAAAUGUAACCUACAAAAUUAGAAAAUGUGACAAAAAAGAAAAUUGUGAUUAAUAAAUCGAAAUUUAUGCCGAUUGUAACCCAUAGAACAACAGAUAAACACUUGCCGGAAUUAUAUGCGUUCUUAUGCCGCAUUACCAAUUGAAAGAGUAUGGUUGUGCUGUGUGCAUGUGAUGGUGACGAAAAUGGGACAUCUCAUACUUUUUGAAACCAAGGCCCAGCAUGGAUUGGGUGGGUCUGGUAGCUUACCAAAACAUUCACUGCAAUGAGCUAGUUCCAAUUAGAAAUGACCAAAGCCACUAGGAUUUACAACUCAAACUUCACAAUUGUGAGGUCAUGAGUUCGAGCUCCUACAAUGUAUUGUAGGGGUUUAAUUUUAUUCUCUAAUUUGAGUUAAACUAAUCUUCUCCUUUUCAAAAUGUAACUGGAGUAGACUUCUCUCGAAUAUUACAGAGGGUAAAAAUCUGAACGGUAUUUUAUAAGAAUUGAUGUAAACUAGUCUCAGUAAUAAUUUGAUUUGUAAAUAUCAAUUAAAAAAAUUAAAAAUUACCAGUUAUAUUUGAGCCUAAUCUAACAUUGUAUUUUCGUUCUUAUAAUGCUGUAUUAUUGGUUGUUUUUAUCCCAUAAUGAAAGGUUUAUUUUCUGAAAAAAAAACUGUAAAUGACUAAAGCAACAUGAGUGAUUGUGUGAACAUGAAAGGCAUUAUGGCUGUGCAUGGAAAACAGCCACUUGCAAUAUCAUUAGUAGACAAACUAAACAACUAGCCAGCUUGGAAUUUUCUCUUUGACAAUCAACAACUGCAUCUUUAGUUGGCCCCAAUGAUUAUUCGUUAGGUGCGUUCAUUAUCAUCUUCAUUUUUGUACUACCUCUUUGAUAAAAUAUACUCAUUAACUACGUAUGUAUUAGCGUAUCAAAAAAUUUUACCCGUUGAAGAAAUACAUUGUAUUGUGAUUGGGUUUACCAAAAAGAUGACAUAGAAAACACAAAAUAAAUAAACAAAUACCAGUAGAUCAAGAGACAAGAAUCAUUUUUUAACUUGGCAGCUACUCAACUGAGGCAGCAAAGUAAUGAAUGAGGGUAGAAAUUUUUUUAAGCAACUUUAGGACCAAUUGUAGGUAAAGAUCCCUAAUUCCCUAUUCUUUUAAGGGGCACUGCCCCACGAAUUGUCAGAGAAUUUCAUCUUCCCCAAUAAUGAUGUUAAAAGAUUUAAAGCUUGCACCAAGCACAUGACUGAAAAAGAAAGAGGAAAAAGAGGCAUGAGCGCUGAGACAUCCAUCGACAGUCUUCAUACAAUUUAGCUUUAGUAGUCCAAGUAUUGUUCACAUCAGCUAAAAAAAAUACAACAUAGCACUGGGUCCAUACUCCACAGGCAAUACUGCAAAAGCAAAAAACAACUGCAUGCCGUAUAAGUUAUCAACUUUUCUGAAACACGUCUUGUUCUAAUGGCAAAAUUCAAGCCCUGGCUUUAGAUUUUAGGGAGUGCGUGAACUAAAAAGCACUUAUUCAAUUGGUUUGUUUAUUCUAAAAGCAGCUUUGAUUGUCAGAUUACAACAAAAAUAUGCAUUACUAUUCAUUGUAAUAUUCUUAAGUGGUAAUUGAAUCAGAAUAUGGUGAACAUGCAGUAAUGAUUGGAGAUAUUAAAGCUGAAAAGGCAAAUAAUUUGUGUUAAAGUUUUAAUUAGCUUAGUCUUAUGGUUGGUGAAAUAUAAUGAUAGUAUCAUAUUGAUAUUGUUGACAAGCUUAUUGGUGCAUUUUAAUGGGGGGUAAUGGGUUCCCAUUUGGGAGACAUCAUUAUGAAUCUGCUCACUAAUUAUACUAGAAAGUUGUUACUAAUCCAGAGUUCUUCUUGAAAUUAUACAGGGGCUUGGCAAGUUGACAAGAUUUUGGAACUUCCACAUCAUUGGUAAUAUAUAAAAGCUUGCAUUUGCACACAUGAAUGAGCGCCAUAUCUGCAGCAAUGAUCUGCAUAAAUACAACUUUAGCUAAAUAAAGUGGUCAAAAACAAAAUAAUAAUAAUAAAGGCAAUUGCAUUAGAGAGGAAUUUGAGGCCAAAAGGGAGGUCAUAUUUAGAUUUUUUUUUUUUAAUGUAGAAAGCAUUUAUGUUUGGGAUCUAACUAAUUACAGUACUCUUAGGAUACUGUGUGGACAGUUUAAACACUAUUUUUUUUUUAUGGUAAAACUGGGUAUUUUAUUUCAGAAAUCAACUUAAAAAUAACAUUCUAAAAAAUUUAGGUAAUCGUGCAACCAACUUAAUGAAUCAGGACAUUAAAUAGCAAAUUUAGCUAAUACAUCAGUCACAUGAUUACAACAUCUAGAAAUUUACCAAAGUUAGAAAUUUUCCCUCACUAAAAUUAGCAUUUGAAUCUAUGAAAUAAUGCAAAAUAACUUUAUACGUGUAUACAAAUUAUUUAAAUAAAAUUUAAUAAAAUGUGAUUAAUUGAUUGUUCAGAUUGUGGAGUACAAUAUUUAAUAAUAUUAUAUCCUUGUAGUUGUUCAAAUUAUCAAUAACAAUAGGCUUACAAAUUUAAAAACAAAGUUUAUCUCAUUAGACGUGAUAAAUGAUAUGACACUAUGUCAUUAAGUUAUAUGAUAAUUAAUUAUUAUGUCUUAUCAUCAAAUUGAUGAAUUUAAAGUGGUAACUCAUCACGAAGAUCCAAACUUUAUAUUUAAUUAACUAAAAAAUUUUUGAUAAAAAGCAUACAUUUGAUUCAAUUCCCCUCCUAGGGAGAAUGUUGGAUUUUGUCCGUUCGCACGUGGGCUAGAACACUCCUAUAAUUGAGAGAGGCACUACAUGUAAGUAAAAUCCCGGAUUAUGCCAUAGGCCUAUAACCUAUAAUUAGACUAUACCUAAUUCACCAUUUUGGUAUUUUUUAGAAAAAAAAUCAAAGACAACGAUGGUACUAAAAUGAUUUUAAGCACACCUACGACAUGGGAUAUGGAACUACAUGUGAUUAGUCCAACGUUCUAAAAGAAUUAGCUUGAAUUGAAGACUUUCACAGCCUAAUAAAAAUAGUAUCUUCGAAAUUGAAAGAAACUUAACAAACUUCAAGAACGAACCUUUGCACAAGCACGGACUUGAAGUCUUGAACUGACAACGAUAAAUGAAUUUAGCAUACAAUGAAAAACCCAACAAAUACCAUAAACCAAAACUCAUCCAAACUCAACCACUUUAUUAUUUUUUUUUUUUUCUAACCACUAGCUCUGUUUUUUUCUCAUUAUAAAAAACAUGAAUAGAAUUGAGUGUCCGGAAUAUUUGUCGAACACAACAAUUACAAGAGGACAAUAAAUACAUAUGAAUGCUUCCAUUCAAACAUGAAUGGGGUUAGCAAUGUCACGCACCAAACCAAUUAAAAAGAGGACUUUUGGCGAAAAGAAAUUGAAAAAGAACAAAACGUUAAGUUACAACAUUUCAGCAUUAGGUGGGCUUCUUUUUGCCCACUCUGCAUUUUUUAUUACAACUUUAUAUCUUUUUUAUUUGUUGUUGACUUUGUCCAUUCAUUUUUCAUUACCUGCCUUUUUCCCCCCCCCUAAUUAGCGGGGGCCACGUUACCGUUAUGAUUGAUCCCCCCAUUUGAAUUAUAAGUGCUGGUGCUACUGUUUGAUUUGAUUAUCUCAAAUGCCUGAUCUACCCUUGCCUACUACAUCCAAUUGUUUGAAAAAUUCUAUGGUAAGUACAAACUAAUUACUUCUGUUAUUUCCAAGUACUUUCAACAGCAAUGCUCUUCUCAACCGAAAAAAAAAAAAAAAACAAAAAACCGUUAUGCGAUAUCUAUUACUAGAAGAUGCAUAUAAAGCACUCUUAGGUAGUGUUUACUUUCUGGAGUGGGAGUGUGGAGUGUGGAUUCCUCCCACUCCAGUGUUUACUUACCUUAAAAAAGGGGGGAGUGGGAGUGGGAAUCCGUGGGUCCCACCUAAUUUUAGAGUGGGGAGUGGGAAUCCGUGGGUCCCACCUAAUUUUGGAGUGGGGAGUGGGAUUCCCACUCCCAUGGGGAGAGGUGGGAGUGGGAAUCCACUCCCCC
Molecule: long non-coding RNA, 4617 nt
Filed under: Citrus x clementina
Lineage: Eukaryota; Viridiplantae; Streptophyta; Magnoliopsida; Sapindales; Rutaceae
Description: Citrus clementina (C. clementina) long non-coding RNA (CCLE_LNC006717)
Source: RNAcentral